UACGUAGGGUGCGAGCGUUAAUCGGAAUUACUGGGCGUAAAGCGUGCGCAGGCGGUUGGUUAAGUCUGAUGUGAAAGCCCCGAGCUCAACUUGGGAAUGGCAUUGGAAACUGGCUGGCUAGAGUGUGGCAGAGGGGGGUGGAAUUCCGCGUGUAGCAGUGAAAUGCGUAGAGAUGCGGAGGAACACCGAUGGCGAAGGCAGCCCCCUGGGCUGACACUGACGCUCAGGCACGAAAGCGUGGGGAGCAAACAGG
Molecule: ribosomal RNA, 253 nt
Filed under: Chromobacteriaceae bacterium
Lineage: Bacteria; Pseudomonadati; Pseudomonadota; Betaproteobacteria; Neisseriales; Chromobacteriaceae
Also listed under: 1 other name
Description: partial 16S ribosomal RNA
Rfam family: Bacterial small subunit ribosomal RNA
Source: RNAcentral